UUGAAGAGUUUGAUCAUGGCUCAGAUUGAACGCUGGCGGCAGGCCUAACACAUGCAAGUCGAACGGUAACAGGAAACAGCUUGCUGUUUCGCUGACGAGUGGCGGACGGGUGAGUAAUGUCUGGGAAACUGCCUGAUGGAGGGGGAUAACUACUGGAAACGGUAGCUAAUACCGCAUAACGUCGCAAGACCAAAGAGGGGGACCUUCGGGCCUCUUGCCAUCGGAUGUGCCCAGAUGGGAUUAGCUAGUAGGUGGGGUAACGGCUCACCUAGGCGACGAUCCCUAGCUGGUCUGAGAGGAUGACCAGCCACACUGGAACUGAGACACGGUCCAGACUCCUACGGGAGGCAGCAGUGGGGAAUAUUGCACAAUGGGCGCAAGCCUGAUGCAGCCAUGCCGCGUGUAUGAAGAAGGCCUUCGGGUUGUAAAGUACUUUCAGCGGGGAGGAAGGGAGUAAAGUUAAUACCUUUGCUCAUUGACGUUACCCGCAGAAGAAGCACCGGCUAACUCCGUGCCAGCAGCCGCGGUAAUACGGAGGGUGCAAGCGUUAAUCGGAAUUACUGGGCGUAAAGCGCACGCAGGCGGUUUGUUAAGUCAGAUGUGAAAUCCCCGGGCUCAACCUGGGAACUGCAUCUGAUACUGGCAAGCUUGAGUCUCGUAGAGGGGGGUAGAAUUCCAGGUGUAGCGGUGAAAUGCGUAGAGAUCUGGAGGAAUACCGGUGGCGAAGGCGGCCCCCUGGACGAAGACUGACGCUCAGGUGCGAAAGCGUGGGGAGCAAACAGGAUUAGAUACCCUGGUAGUCCACGCCGUAAACGAUGUCGACUUGGAGGUUGUGCCCUUGAGGCGUGGCUUCCGGAGCUAACGCGUUAAGUCGACCGCCUGGGGAGUACGGCCGCAAGGUUAAAACUCAAAUGAAUUGACGGGGGCCCGCACAAGCGGUGGAGCAUGUGGUUUAAUUCGAUGCAACGCGAAGAACCUUACCUGGUCUUGACAUCCACGGAAGUUUUCAGAGAUGAGAAUGUGCCUUCGGGAACCGUGAGACAGGUGCUGCAUGGCUGUCGUCAGCUCGUGUUGUGAAAUGUUGGGUUAAGUCCCGCAACGAGCGCAACCCUUAUCCUUUGUUGCCAGCGGUCCGGCCGGGAACUCAAAGGAGACUGCCAGUGAUAAACUGGAGGAAGGUGGGGAUGACGUCAAGUCAUCAUGGCCCUUACGACCAGGGCUACACACGUGCUACAAUGGCGCAUACAAAGAGAAGCGACCUCGCGAGAGCAAGCGGACCUCAUAAAGUGCGUCGUAGUCCGGAUUGGAGUCUGCAACUCGACUCCAUGAAGUCGGAAUCGCUAGUAAUCGUGGAUCAGAAUGCCACGGUGAAUACGUUCCCGGCCUUGUACACACCGCCCGUCACACCAUGGGAGUGGGUUGCAAAAGAAGUAGGUAGCUUAACCUUCGGGAGGGCGCUUACCACUUUGUGAUUCAUGACUGGGGUGAAGUCGUAACAAGGUAACCGUAGGGGAACCUGCGGUUGGAUCACCUCCUU
RNAcentral lists this ribosomal RNA (1537 nucleotides) under Escherichia coli. RNAcentral describes it as "bacterial SSU rRNA". It matches the Rfam family "Bacterial small subunit ribosomal RNA". The record is from RNAcentral. Lineage: Bacteria; Pseudomonadati; Pseudomonadota; Gammaproteobacteria; Enterobacterales; Enterobacteriaceae.